RNA transcript from Portunus trituberculatus (swimming crab), 3013 nucleotides. RefSeq lists it as uncharacterized. The transcript is spliced from 23 exons. NCBI's taxonomy places the organism in Eukaryota, Metazoa, Arthropoda, Malacostraca, Decapoda, Portunidae. The record is from RefSeq and is a predicted model, not a curated record.
UUUCAGGUUUGAGGGACGCCGUGGGGAAGGAUUCAGUGGAUGGUCGGGGAACUCUUGACAAAACAGGUGGUGUGUGUAGAUGCUGACUGCUUUGUCUCUUUACCCUGCUGAAGGAAGGAGGGAGGAGCAGUCUUGUUCAUGGAAAGACUAUGGAGUGUCUGAGUACCCUGCAGGAUGUCUUGAUUUUGAUCCCAAGCCAGUUUUUAGGAUUUUCUUGGUUCAUUCUCGUUCGAUGCCCAGCCCGCUUAAGGCACAAGCUGGUGCAGCUCAGGGUUAGUCCCAACCUUGGGUGAAUGGGCAGAGGUGCCUGUGGAAAGACAUCCACUGUAAAAACCUACCAUUGUCAAGCAAGAAAGAAAAGAAUGUGGUACUUGUUCCUGUAAAGACUUGGGUGACAUCUCAUUGCCUCUGUGAUUGCCUGCACACAGUUCUCAACACCAGUAGACUUGGAUGUAGGAAAACCCUUUCCCUCACCAUUUUGGAAGGAGACAUUUACUGCUUACCUGGUUUGGAGGUUAUCAAGUUGAGGGAUCACAAGAAGUUUGUGGUGCUGUGAAUAAGUCAGGCUUGUGAACUGAGGUUUGAGGGACGUCGUGGGGAAGGAUACAGUGGAUGGCUGGGGAACUCUUGCCAAAACAGGUGAGGGCUGAAGGAAGGAGGGAGGAGCAGUCUUGUUCAUGGAAAGACUGUGGAGUGUCUGAGUACCCUGCAGGAUGUCUUGAUUUUGAUCCCAAGCCAGUUUUUAUAAUUUUCUUGGUUCGUUCUCGUUCAAUGCCCUGCCCGCUUAGGGCACAAGCUGGUGCAGCUCAGGGUUAGUCCCAACCUUGGGUGAAUGGGCAGAGGUGCCCAUGGAAAGACAUCCACUGUAAAAACCUACCAUUGUCAAGCAAGAAAGAAAAGAAUGUGGUACUUGUUCCUGUAAAGACUUGGGUGACAUCUCAUUGCCUCUGUGGUUGCCUGCACACAGUUCUCAACACCAGUAGACUUGGAUGUAGGAAAACCCUUUCCCUCACCAUUUUGGAAGGAGACAUUUACUGCUUACCUGUAUCUGAAGGAUGUUGAGGAUAACCCACAGCGCUCUGAAUGCCGUCUCAUACUUUUGGCUGGAGUGGGAGUGAUGCAGGCUGAUGGACGGGCCUUCCUUUACAGGUUUGGAGAAGGUUAUCAAGUUGAGGAAUCACAAGAAGGUUGUGGUGCUGUGAAUAAGUCAGGCUUGUGAACUGAGGUUUGAGGAACGCCGUGGGGAAGGAUUCAGUGGAUGGCCGGGGAACUCUUGCCAAAACAGGGCUGAAGGAAGGAGGAAGGUGGUGUCUUGUUCAUGGAAAGACUAUGGAGUGUCGGAGAACCCUGCAGGAUGUCUUGAUUUUGAUCCCAAGCCAGUUUUUAUGAUUUUCUUGGUUCAUUCUCGUUCGAUGCCCAGCCCGCUUAAGGCACAAGCUGGUGCAGCUCAGGGUUAGUCCCAACCUUGGGUGAAUGGGCAGAGGUGCCUCUGGAAAGACAUCCACUGUAAAAACCUACCAUUGUCAAGCAAGAAAGAAAAGAAUGUGGUACUUGUUCCUGUAAAGACUUGGGUAACAUCUCAUUGCCUCUGUGAUUGCCUGCACACAGUUCUCAACACCAGUAGACUUGGAUGUAGGAAAACCCUUUCCCUCACCAUUUUGGAAGGAGACAUUUACUGCUUACCUGGUUUGGAGGUUAUCAAGUUGAGGGAUCACAAGAAGGUUGUGGUGCUGUGAAUAAGUCAGGCUUGUGAAUUGAGGUUUGAGGGACGCCGUGGGGAAGGAUUCAGUGGAUGGCCGGGGAACUCUUGCCAAAACAGGGCUGAAGGAAGGAGGGAGGAGCAGUCAUGUUCGUGGAAAGACUAUGGAGUGUCUGAGUACCCUGCAGGAUGUCUUGAUUUUGAUCCCAAGCCAGCUUUUAGGAUUUUCUUGGUUCAUUCUCGUUCGAUGCCCAGCCCGCUUAGGGCACAAACUGGUGCAGCUCAGGGUUAGUCCCAACCUUGGGUGAAUGGGCAGAGGUGCCUCUGGAAAGACAUCCACUGUAAAAACCUACUAUUGUCAAGCAAGAAAGAAAAGAAUGUGGUACUUGUUCCUGUAAAGACUUGGGUGACAUCUCAUUGCCUCUGUGAUUGCCUGCACACAGUUCUCAACAGCAGUAGACUUGGAUGUAGGAAAACCCUUUCCCUCACCAUUUUGGAAGGAGACAUUUACUGCUUACCUGGUUUGGAGGUUAUCAAGUUGAGGAAUCACAAGAAGUUUUUGGUGCUGUGAAUAAGUCAGGCUUGUGAACUGAGGUUUGAGGGAUGCUGUGGGGAAGGAUUCAGUGGAUGGCCGGGGAACUCUUGACAAAACAGGGCUGAAGGAAGGAGGGAGGAGUAGUCUUGUUCGUGGAAAGACUAUGAAGUGUCUCAGUACCCUGCAGGAUUUUGUUGGUUCCUUCUUGCUGGAUGUCCAGCCCACACAGGGCACAAACUAGUGCAGCUCAGGGUUAGUCCUAACCCUGGGUAAAUAGGCAGUGGUGCCUCAGGAAAGAUAUCCACAGUAUAAAUCUAUCAGGACAAGCAUGAAAGAAAAGAAUGAGGCAGUGAGGAAUGUGGUACUUGUUUCUGUGAAGACUUGGUAAAUGUAAAUAUUAACAGAGUGAACUAUAUACCAUCUUUUGAUACAUCAGUGUAUUAUAGUAAUAAGGGCAAAUGACAUCUGAUUCAUGAUUACAUUUUGGAUCUUUUUAGCAGUGUUACUGUAGAUCCUGUAUGGAUGGAAACAUACUGGUAUAUACUGAAUGAAGUCCUCAUUUACUUUUUGCCCUAUAAUGUAGUUAGCUCUUCUGAAAAACAGUAAGCAGAAAUUAAUAGGAAUGGAUACCUUUAUCUGCAAACCUAGACAGUCUUGUUAUCUGAUGAUAGCUGAUAAGGACAAAUAGCUGAUUGAUAUUACCUUUGGAAUUUGUCGUGUAUUUAAGGAACUUUUAUAUACAGUACUGUGUUCUAAGAGAAAUAAAAGUGGGAGUAAAA